This 253-nucleotide ribosomal RNA is filed under the name uncultured bacterium. RNAcentral's name for it is "partial 16S ribosomal RNA". It matches the Rfam family "Bacterial small subunit ribosomal RNA", at positions 524 to 776 of the family's 1533-position model. The record is from RNAcentral.
UACGGAGGAUCCGAGCGUUAUCCGGAUUUAUUGGGUUUAAAGGGUGCGUAGGCGGUUUGAUAAGUUAGAGGUGAAAUGUCGGGGCUCAACCCCGAAACUGCCUCUAAUACUGUUGGACUAGAGAGUAGUUGCGGUAGGCGGAAUGUAUGGUGUAGCGGUGAAAUGCUUAGAGAUCAUACAGAACACCGAUUGCGAAGGCAGCUUACCAAACUAUAUCUGACGUUGAGGCACGAAAGCGUGGGUAGCAAACAGG